AAUCUUCUUUAGCACCAUUGUUUGAAAGCAUCAAUUCUUUGGCAUGCAGCUUUCUUUAUGGUCCAACUUAUGAGGCUGGCUGUCCUUCAAACUUCGCAAUGAUUUUGGGGUCAGAAGUCCAUCUGUGUUAUCAUAUAUGUGACUGAUUUUGUACAUAUCUCCGGGGCUUGACUAGGGCUAUGUGAGUAGACACUUUCCUACCCAACUAUGUGAUCUGAGAAUGGGCUAGUGGGUCAUUUUCCAAGUGAAAUGCAAUCUAUACCAGUUCUCUGUGGUUGCUGAGAGGAUAAAACAUGUGGGGCUGUUGGCUAGUCUACUAGCUUGCCAUAAGUAAAGUCUACCUGAGAAUGAGGUCUGGCAGAGGAAAGCAGGGCCAGAAAGUAGAGAGGGUGUCAAAGUGUUCCAUAGUCAUCAUUUGGGCUCAUAGACCUGAAGCCAGAGGCCUAAUUUUUUAAUAUUUUGAGCCAAUACAUUUCUUGUUUUGCUGAGGUCACUUUGAAUUAAAUUUCUGUCACAAGCCAUACAUUUCGGACUAACAUGCAAUUAGGCCUGAUACAUGUUGUCUCAGGCAACCUAGAUAUUAUAAUGUCCAUUUUACAAAUGAGGAAAUGGAGGUUUGGAGACCCAGGUAAUUUGCAUGAAUAUUACAGGUAGUCACUGAAAGAGCUAGGAUUUGACACAAGGCCAAUCUUGAAUCUAAAGAGAAUGUACUUUCUCUAAACCUUUGAAAAUGUUUUCAGGUUUGGUUUCUUUUAGAAACAUAAGCAUCUGUGCGUCAAAGUCUCCUUUAGAGAGGCUACCUUCCUCAUGCUCGGUUCUAGAAUUUAGUCAGUGCAUCGUCGGCUGACUCGAGUAGUUGUUUAUACAGUCUAUGAGCUUGCAGUUUAUGGUAUUUUGUAAUUUUGUUUUCCCUGUCGUUUUGCUAAUGCAGCUUUGUGAGCAAACAUUGCCUAUGAUUUAAAUCCGCCACAGUAAUGAAACUCAGUGAGCACACACACAUACACACAUUUCCUCAGAACAGUCCACAGCACUCUGAUUAAUCUCAUGUGUGAAGUACAGUGUUUAUACAGGAAAUCAGCAGGUGGCAAUUAGCAUCUUCGAAAUUAUCUGGGAAACACAACUGGAGCUGCCAUUUCAGGAUGGAAACAUAGCAAUAACCAGCAAAGUGACAAACCCCCUAGGAGCUGGGAAUGAAUCGGGCUGGGAGCCGGGGCUGCUAGGCAUGCAACAGCUGGUGGGGCAGCUCGGUGUGGAUCACAGAUUGUGUGCCAGCCUCUUACUUUCCCUCCCGACAGUCAAUAAGCAGUCUUUGGGUAGAGACAUAAAAUGGCCUGAUAGGCAGACCAUCGUAGAACAACCUUCAAAAAUACUCACCCCCACCCAUCCCCCCCACCCCCCGCCAAAUCCUCAGAUCUUAGUCUAGGUGCAGACAGACACUGGUGCUACUACUGUAUUAGUUGGUAAAAUAUUGAACUAUUUCCGUGUUGGUUAGUAAACAGCUGCUGUCUUGAGCUUGCUAAGUGGCAUCCCACUGCUGUUUUCCCUGGGACCGCCUCAGCUCUCUAGGAUUCACUGAUCAAAAGCUGAAAGCCUGACUCCCGCCCCAGUGCUGAGUUCAGGGUCCAUUCUGAUUGGUCUGUGCCUGUGGUGUCUGGUCGUUAACUAUUUGAAACAUCAUCCCACAGGAGUUUCAGGGACCACUGCAGAAGACAGAUUCAGAGGAUGGGUUCUGGAGAAGGAAGAAGCGGAAUUAGUGCAUGGACCGUUUUAUGCUUGAGAUGCUCUUUCUCAAUAGCUGAAAAAAAAAAUUCAAGCUAAGUACUAUCAUUGGACUUGUCGAAAGGAAAAUAGGAUCUUAUGCUGCUAAACAUGUAUGCGUGAAGAAUGGGGAAUAACCAUCUCUACUUUCCAAAGCCAACGUGAGGCUUAAGUACCUGAUAUGUACGAGUGAUCGGUAGUUGAGUUGAAGAACCCAGAUGAAAUUGUCUCUAUGCCCAGAUGUGAACUUGCCUAUGACAUAGCCUCCAUGAAGGAAUUCAGACAUCACUGUGGAACACAGCUCUCCUAUAGGACAGCCCUGCUGUCCUUCAGGUGGUCCUAGGAAUUGACUCAUGGUGCUGGAGGCCCAUAGACUUCCCUCAGGACAGAUCCCAUCUUCUCUGCCACAUCCAGAGAAGCCUCAUGAGGCCAUUAUUGACCUGCACAUCAGAACAAUGGUUCUGGGAUGCUGAAGCCCCUAGUGCCCACUCGGGAAACCAAAUCACUUGGAAUUAACAAGUCAUUUGGAGUUAACAACAGCAACAAAUCAAUAGCUAACCUUUUGGAAUACUAACAGAGCUGGAAAAGGACUCAUUCUUUUGAGGUAAUCUGGAGCCAAAUGAACUGAAACUUUUUUCAGAAGGAGGAGAUGUGAUGGUAUGAGAGCAAAAGAAGACCGAAAGUAAAAUUCCUUUUGUUUGAUUUGAUGGUGUGGGUGAGCAGCCUUGGGAACAGUGAACACACCUCCUCUUCUUGUUUGUGUGAGUGACUUUCCCGACUGAGACACAGUAACACCCAGAGGAAAUCAUCUAACUGUUACUGGUAAUUAAAUUGAGAAUGUCAAGUCUCCCAGAGGACCAUUGCUCAUUGGAGAAGAGGAGAGCCAUUUCUGUUUGCAGUUACUUACUGGUGGAAAAGUAAAAUGAGCCCUGUUUUGAUGAAGUGUCCUGGUGCUAGUGAAACAUUCCAUGAAGGGCAUUGUCUUCAAGACUUACUGAAUCCAUUCUACUGAACCAUAAAGCUAAGUUAAAAAAAAAAAUCUUGACAGUUUAUAGGGGAGAGAGAAUGAGAGAGAGAGAGAGAGAGAGAUUAACAUGGACAAAUAAUUUUUCAAAGGUUUGCCAUAUGCCAAGUUUGGUUAUAUGGAUGCAAUGGUGAAACAAGGGGUCUUGAGCAAUGACUUUGGAUGUCUGAGCCAUGCAGUUUCUGUUGCGUGCCCAUGCUCAGUUGCUAAGUCAUGUCUGACUCUUGCGACCCCAUGGACUGUAGCCUGCCAGGCUCCUCUGUCCAUGGCAUUUUCCAGGCAAGAACCCUUGAGUGGGUUGCCAUUUCCUCCUUCAGGGGGGGUUUCUUGACCCAGGGAUCAAGCUCAUAUCUCCCGUGUCUCCUGCAUUGUAGGCAGAUUCUUUACUGCUGAGUUACCUAGGAAGCUUACAGUUUCUGUUACAACUACUCAGUUCUGUUGUCAUAAUGUCAACUUAAAGAAAAACACAUAACAUGAUAAUUGUGCAUUUCAGUUUUUAUUCAUGGUCUUACUGAGGACCGCGGCCUGGGAGAUAACUCUGAAGAACUGCUCUGAAGAGAGAAAGGAGAAGCUAGUUUAUAUGUGUGUGUGUGUGUGUGUGUGUUUUUGGCUAAGAAAUACAUGCAGUCAAAAGUAUUGUUGUUCAGUUGAUAAGUUGUGUCUGACUCUGCAACCCCAUGAACUGCAGGACACCAGGCUUUCCUGUCCUUCCUUAUCUCCCUGAGUUUGCUCAAACUCAUGUCCAU
This is a long non-coding RNA of Bubalus bubalis (water buffalo), 3528 nucleotides long. RefSeq lists it as uncharacterized. The transcript is spliced from 4 exons. Lineage: Eukaryota; Metazoa; Chordata; Mammalia; Artiodactyla; Bovidae. The record is from RefSeq and is a predicted model, not a curated record.